UACAGAGGGUGCGAGCGUUGUCCGGAAUCACUGGGCGUAAAGGGCGCGUAGGUGGCGACCCAAGUCGAUGGUGAAAGCUCGCCGCUCAACGGCGAGUCGGCCACCGAUACUGGGUUGCUGGAGCACUGUAGAGGCUCAUGGAAUUCCGGGUGUAGCGGUGGAAUGCGUAGAGAUCCGGAAGAACACCGGUGGCGAAGGCGGCUACCUGGACAUCAACUGGACGCUGAGACGCGAAAGCGUGGGGAGCAAACAGG
Molecule: ribosomal RNA, 254 nt
Filed under: uncultured bacterium
Lineage: Bacteria
Description: partial 16S ribosomal RNA
Rfam family: Bacterial small subunit ribosomal RNA
Source: RNAcentral